This 964-nucleotide ribosomal RNA is filed under the name Listeria monocytogenes. RNAcentral's name for it is "partial 23S ribosomal RNA". It matches the Rfam family "Bacterial large subunit ribosomal RNA", at positions 456 to 1421 of the family's 2925-position model. The record is from RNAcentral. Lineage: Bacteria; Bacillati; Bacillota; Bacilli; Caryophanales; Listeriaceae.
UCUCCCAAGGCUAAAUACUCCCUAGUGACCGAUAGUGAACCAGUACCGUGAGGGAAAGGUGAAAAGCACCCCGGAAGGGGAGUGAAACAGUUCCUGAAACCGUGUGCCUACAAGUAGUUAGAGCCCGUUAAUGGGUGAUAGCGUGCCUUUUGUAGAAUGAACCGGCGAGUUACGAUUUGUUGCAAGGUUAAGCGGAAAAAGCGGAGCCGUAGCGAAAGCGAGUCUGAAUAGGGCGCAUAAGUAACAGGUCGUAGACCCGAAACCAGGUGAUCUACCCAUGUCCAGGAUGAAGGUAAGGUAAUACUUACUGGAGGUCCGAACCCACGCACGUUGAAAAGUGCGGGGAUGAGGUGUGGGUAGCGGAGAAAUUCCAAUCGAACUUGGAGAUAGCUGGUUCUCUCCGAAAUAGCUUUAGGGCUAGCCUCGAGGUAAAGAGUCAUGGAGGUAGAGCACUGUUUGGACUAGGGGCCCUUCUCGGGUUACCGAAUUCAGAUAAACUCCGAAUGCCAUGUACUUAUACUCGGGAGUCAGACUGCGAGUGAUAAGAUCCGUAGUCGAAAGGGAAACAGCCCAGACCACCAGUUAAGGUCCCCAAAUAUAUGUUAAGUGGAAAAGGAUGUGGGGUUGCUUAGACAACCAGGAUGUUGGCUUAGAAGCAGCCACCAUUGAAAGAGUGCGUAAUAGCUCACUGGUCGAGUGACCCCGCGCCGAAAAUGUACCGGGGCUAAACAUAUUACCGAAACUGUGGAUGAACCUCUUUAGAGGUUCGUGGUAGGAGAGCGUUCUAAGGGCGGUGAAGUCAGACCGGAAGGACUGGUGGAGCGCUUAGAAGUGAGAAUGCCGGUAUGAGUAGCGAAAGAAGGGUGAGAAUCCCUUCCACCGAAUAUCUAAGGUUUCCUGAGGAAGGCUCGUCCGCUCAGGGUUAGUCGGGACCUAAGCCGAGGCCGAUAGGCGUAGGCGAUGG